GAGUAGAUUCUCCUGACCUCAGGGUGGUGAGGUACUCAUGUGCAACCAACCCAUCUCCUCUGUCGGAAGACCUCCAUUCAUCCUUGGCCAGCCUUCUGAAGUCUCCCUUUAUGAAUACUCGGGAUAUGCUCUUUGGGGGAUGACACCACCACAGGCUCACGGACUGAAGAGCAGCUUGGUGCUCCUGUAAUGAGGCCCGUGGUCUCAUUUCUUCCAUCUGAGUGGUACCUUCUCACAUGUUCUGUACCAGAAUCAAGAGGUCUCAUAUCCCCUACCUGAAUAUCGACUGUACCUUAACCACAUGAAUGUUCUGUGAGUCUCAACUCCCA
Mus musculus (house mouse) is the source of this 329-nucleotide long non-coding RNA. RefSeq annotates it as predicted gene, 36221. Lineage: Eukaryota; Metazoa; Chordata; Mammalia; Rodentia; Muridae. The record is from RefSeq and is marked validated. The transcript has 2 exons.